AAAUAAAGAAUACGGAUACGGAUACGUAUCAAAAAGACUUGUAUUGGACACGAUUAUUGUUUACAUAAAAAACAAUAACAAAGUGACAUGUCUUAACUCUUUGUUCACAAAUAAUAAUAUUUUGCAUUUGUAACGCUCGCGCCAACUGCCAAAUUGCAGUGAUUAUAUUUAUCGUCGCCAUUCUCCUUUUCUCAGUAAAUCUUUGAAGUUUUAUUUAGUUUUGGGUACAUUAUUUCGAAUUUAAAGCAAGGAAUUGACAAAGUUACGUUUCAGAUAAUGGAUGAUGAAUGGGACGAUUCUUGUGAUGUUGUUGUGCCAACCCCACCAACACUGCAGUACACAAAGUCAUAUAAUGAUGUUGAUGAAGGUCAUAGCUUGUCACAGGGAAGAGGUUUUACAUCAUUUAUAGAAGAUGAAGGAAAUGAUUUCGACAAAGGUGGCAAUGGGUUUGGUGAAAGGAGAGGACGCGGGGGCCGGGGC
Zerene cesonia (dogface butterfly) is the source of this 480-nucleotide long non-coding RNA. RefSeq lists it as uncharacterized. The record is from RefSeq and is a predicted model, not a curated record. Lineage: Eukaryota; Metazoa; Arthropoda; Insecta; Lepidoptera; Pieridae. The transcript has 4 exons.